AAGCGUCUGUAGGCGGCGCAGAAAGUUAGGUGCGAAAUCUUGCGGCUCAACCGUAUAGACUGUGCUUAAAACUUCUGUGCUCGAGGUUGGUAGAGGCAAGUGGAACUUGCGGUGUAACAGUGACAUGUGUAGAUAUCGCAAAGAACACCAAUGGCGAAGGCAGCUUGCUGGGCCACACCUGACGCUCAGAGACGAAAGCGUGGGGAGCGAACGGGAUUAGAUACCCCGGUAGUCCACGCCGUAAACGAUGAUCACUAGUAGUAUGGGGAUUCGACCCUCUGUGCUACGAAGCUAACGCGAUAAGUGAUCCGCCUGGGGAGUACGAGCGCAAGCUUAAAACUCAAAGGAAUUGACGGGGACCCGCACAAGCAGUGGAUCAUGUGGUUUAAUUCGAGGCUAAGCGAAGAACCUUACCGAGACUUGACAUCCCAGGAAGUCAGUCGAAAGACAGAUGUGCCUUCGGGAACCUGGUGACAGGUGCUGCAUGGCCGUCGUCAGCUCGUGUCGUGAGAUGUUGGGUUAAGUCCCGCAACGAGCGCAACCCUUGUCGUCUGUUGUAUUUUCAGACGAGACUGCCCGGGCCAACCGGGAGGAAGGCGGGGAUGACGUCUGGUCAGCAUGGCCCUUACGUCUCGGGCCACACACGUGAUACAAUGGCCGGUACAAUGCGCUGCCAAGCCGCAAGGUGGAGCUAAUCGCAUCAAAACCGGUCUCAGUUCGGAUUGGGGGCUGAAACUCGCCCCCAUGAAGCUGGAAUUGCUAGUAAUGGCAGGUCAGCCACACUGCCGUGAAUACGUUCUCGGG
RNAcentral lists this ribosomal RNA (804 nucleotides) under uncultured bacterium. Its description in RNAcentral is "bacterial SSU rRNA". It matches the Rfam family "Bacterial small subunit ribosomal RNA", at positions 563 to 1378 of the family's 1533-position model. The record is from RNAcentral.